UAGGCAACGACCCGAAGGGCGAAGCGCGCAGCGCUGAGUAAUCCUUCCCCCACCACCA
Molecule: small RNA, 58 nt
Filed under: Salmonella enterica
Lineage: Bacteria; Pseudomonadati; Pseudomonadota; Gammaproteobacteria; Enterobacterales; Enterobacteriaceae
Also listed under: 2 other names
Description: partial RtT sRNA
Rfam family: RtT RNA
About the family: This family represents a bacterial cis-regulatory element known as RtT RNA. The exact function of RtT is unknown although it is thought that it may be involved in changing the cellular response in relation to amino acid starvation.
Source: RNAcentral